CCCGCGAGUAAGGGGCGGUGGUAGCGUCUGCUCGGUUACAAAUGGCCCCUCCCGCCCCGCUCGCCCGCUCGCUCGGGCUCGGCGCGGACCCGCCCGGGAGCGCUCCUCCCGCCGGCUGCCGGCGUCCCGCCGCCCUGCCCGGAGCCGGCCGGCGGUCCCCGCCAACCCCCGAGGGCGCUCCUGGCACCCAGCACGGAGGCUUGCCCGCGGAGGUCGCGCCGGGAGACUGGACCGCGGUGGCGCGCGGCUUGCCUUCCCGCAGGUGAACUUUGAUAUGGUGGAUGGUGACUCUUCUCCUGCAUGCGAGUGGUGGUUCAAACCAGUGAAGAGACUUCAGACCUGUGGUGACAGAGGCCUUAAAACCUCACAGGGAGACAUCCUUGGAGCUCCAUGGCCAGGAAGUGCGGGAGGAAACAGGACUUUCAAAGCAGAAAAAGCCCACCAUGUUCCUGCCCAAGCGAGGCCACGCCAGCCGAGGGUACCCUGUGCAGAGGGCCAGUGGGGCCCCAUACAGCCAGCACCUGCCACGUGAGUGAGAUUUCAUUUUCAUCUGAAGAUGCUCUCUAUCAGACUCUCAUCACCACACCAGGGUUCAUAUAAAUCUCCAUUUUUCACAGAGCCGUAGAUUUAGAGCAGCAGUCCCCAAAUCUGGAUUAUCAGAAUCCCUGGGGGUAGGGGUGGAUUCCUGGGCUUCACUUUCAAACCAACUGCAGCAGAAGCUGGGAAGUGGGGAGGGAGGGAGCCCUGAAUCCCACCUCCCCAUCCUGAGCCAGUCAGCCAGGUUGGGGGGAUGUCAGCUGCUGGAGAAAAUCUGCAUUGACCCAUGGACACCCUGGGAGCUGGUUGAUGAGGAAACACACCCUAUUUCUAUUGCCAUCAUCUUUUUCCAGAAGGAAGGGGCAGGAAAAUGGUUUGUUGAUUUGAGACCUCUGAUGUUAUAAAGCUUAGAUAAAUGUCACAUCCUUCCAAUUGCCUUCGCCAAGUGAUCAUUACGUGACGUUAAACAUACACACACACACUCACACACACCAGAAUUAGCUAGCUUGACCUUGCCAAGCAAAUAGUGAAGAGGAAGAAGUAAUAUAAACAAGCCAGAGUGGGAAAUAAAGAGAUAAAAAGCUUUGGUUAAAAUGGGUGC
This 1138-nucleotide long non-coding RNA is filed under the name Bos indicus x Bos taurus (hybrid cattle). RNAcentral describes it as "lncRNA (ENSBIXG00000008510.1)". The record is from RNAcentral. Lineage: Eukaryota; Metazoa; Chordata; Mammalia; Artiodactyla; Bovidae.